UACGUAGGGUGCGAGCGUUAAUCGGAAUUACUGGGCGUAAAGGGCGCGUAGGCGGGAUGGCAAGUCGGUCGUGAAAUCCCUCGGCUCAACCGAGGAACGUCGAUCGAUACUGCUGUUCUUGAGGAUUGCAGAGGAGACUGGAAUUCCCGGUGUAGCGGUGAAAUGUGUAGAGAUCGGGAGGAACACCGGUGGCGAAGGCGGGUCUCUGGGCAAUUCCUGACGCUGAGGCGCGAAAGCGUGGGGAGCAAACGGG
This 253-nucleotide ribosomal RNA is filed under the name uncultured bacterium. RNAcentral describes it as "partial 16S ribosomal RNA". It matches the Rfam family "Bacterial small subunit ribosomal RNA", at positions 524 to 776 of the family's 1533-position model. The record is from RNAcentral.